AUUGAACGCUGGCGGCAGGCCUAACACAUGCAAGUCGAGCGCGAAAGAUCUUCGGAUCGAGUAGAGCGGCGGACGGGUGAGUAACGCGUGGGAAUCUACCCAGUAGCGGGGGAUAACAUGGAGAAAUCCAUGCUAAUACCGCAUACGCCCUACGGGGGAAAGGAGGGGAUCUUCGGACCUUUCACUAUUGGAGGAGCCCGCGUGAGAUUAGAUAGUUGGUGGGGUAAUGGCCUACCAAGUCGACGAUCUCUAGCUGGUCUGAGAGGAGAUCAGCCACAC
Molecule: ribosomal RNA, 279 nt
Filed under: uncultured bacterium
Lineage: Bacteria
Description: partial 16S ribosomal RNA
Rfam family: Bacterial small subunit ribosomal RNA
Source: RNAcentral